Molecule: non-coding RNA, 11302 nt
Organism: Paramuricea clavata
Lineage: Eukaryota; Metazoa; Cnidaria; Anthozoa; Malacalcyonacea; Plexauridae
Source: the annotation of a GenBank genome assembly
GUGCAGAAGCACCAAUAGUAGGUAUGGCAACAUAAAUAUUGUUAAAACGACAAUAAGUCGCACCAGUUUAUUUCAAAACGGAGAGCUUUCAUAUUACAAGAAUUACAGUUCAACUGUCUAACACAUAAAAUAGGGCGUCGUAUAUAAAUGCCGAAAAAAACUGACUAGGUCAACGGUACAGAUACAUUAUAUUAUUAAAAUAUUGCAAUGUCCAUAAUGUGGAGGGCGCCUCAACGAUCCCCCAUUCAUUAAAAUUUUUUGAAGAAUUUAAAAAUUCGUUAGGCCGAGUCAUUUAACGAAUGUUAAUUGAAUAAUGGGACCAUUUGCAUUACAGACUAAAUUUUGAUCUAAACAAAUCUAGACAAAAAUUUCAUCACAGCUUGAAAGAGCAUCACAAAAUUAGUAUAAUAUUCCAAGUUUCGUUGCGAAAUGUUGCAAAAUGCGGAUAAUAUAGCCUUGCAAAGUUUGCCGGUUUUCAGUCAUUUUGCAUUACGCGGGAGAAAUUGACAGCCCAAUACCCUUUGAGCAAUUUGGGGCUGUCAAUUUCCCGUUUGUAAUAAAAUUACUGAAAAACGGCAAACUUCGCAAAGCUAUAUAUCAUCCGCAUUUUACAACAUUUGGCAAAGAAACUUUGGAAAAUUAUCAUCAUUAUUACAACAUUUGGCAAAGAAACUUUGGAAAAUUAUCAUCACAGACACACUUCUUAUCCCUUUGGUAUUAUAUCACUAUGACAUGAUAGGAUGAUAGAUGAAUCACUUUCAUGCUACGAUCGAUAUUUUUGUAAAAUACUGACAAAGAAGCAAAACGUAACGAAGCAUGGUCCCUUACAAGCUAGAUUUUCGAGCGACUAAUAUGAGAAUUCUAAUUUGUUUUUAUAAAGCUUGCCCGUUAUUUGGUGUUGUAGUAGCAAGAACGGGGAUGAGACGAAUUGUUAGCAAUAAAAGCUUUUCUCAAAGCGACAUGGAAGAUGAAGGUGAGUCAAUAAUUAGAGAGUUUAAGUUCGACCAUACUAACAACAGGUCAUGCGUAUGCGCUUGUGGGAAUUGUAAGAUAAACUCAUAUAAAUCAGGUAUUUUAUAUUUUUUUCGAUUAACACGUAAAUUAUGUGUUUAUUAGCAUUGCGUGAAUCAUAUUUGAGUCGGAAUUGUAGCUCAGCUGCCGUUUAGUAUACCGCACAUUUUCAGGGACAAUUAGUGUGUUCUGUCCUUUAUCUGUCGUGAUAACUUAAUUAAUGCUUUGACAUUCCACUACAAAAACUAUGAGAACGGAAGUCGAACUUAAACUCUCUAUACUAUAAGAAUGAAGAUUACCGAAAUAAUCUGAAAAACCACUACAUUUGAUUUUAACUGAUAUUGGGAGGGGGGCUUCCUUCCUGGGAUAGGCGCUAUACUACUAACAGCGAGAAAGAUCUCACUUUCGGGUGGUAAACACAUGUCAAUUGACAUACUGCAGAAUAUAUUUGCCUUCCCGCCCUGCCCAUUUACCACAUUUGAUAUAUUUUUCCCUCACGCGAUUUUGAUUUCGACUGUUUUAAACAAGGGGUAGCCAACGCAAAUCUAGGCGCAAUUGUACUGUUAGAAAUAUAUAUUUUAUUUCUUUUUUCUACGCGAGGUAGGGAAUCGUUUACAAUCAAUCUCUAGUAACUAUCAGUUCUUAGUGUUCGUUUUCUUGCAGUAGUUUUUCAAGAGUUCACUUCAGCCUUCAACUGGCUUUCACUGUUCGUGAUCUGUUCGUUAAUUUCUUCGUUUUGUCUUGUUUCGUUUGAGCUUUCUACAACUUUUCAUACAUAAUUUUUACUUCGUUGAGUCCACUGACGAAUUUGGGUCGUACACGCCCUUUUAUACUAACGGUUGAGGGAUCUUUCUACACGUGAUGUAGCAAGUGGUGUAAUUUGUAUCCAGCCAAUCAACGUUGAAGUUUAAAAGUGUGGGUUGGCGUUGCUAGCUCGUUCCAGCUCUCACAUUCUGUUUAUUUAAGGCGUUGUCGCACUGGUCGAGUUGGUUCGCUGUUCAAUCAAUCAUCAUUAAAACAUGUUCACAUGCAACUUAAAAUACUCAUCAAAAUAUCAUAGUAAAAACUUCAAACUAUACCUAUGUGAACCUUACUUUACCUACUAAACUAAAUUUACUUACAAUUUUAUUGAACCAAGAUUUUGAUGGCGUAAUGUUAUUCUUACUCAACCGCGCGAAAUAUACCGAAGAAUGAUUGACAGAAAGGCCCUAAGCAUGCACAUUUUCAUGUCAGAGAAGAACCAGCCUUGGACUUUGAAUUAUGUAAACACAACAGCCCACCAUGCAAGGCUAUCGUCCAACUCUGACAGUUUGACAAAUCAUUUAUCUUGCCUAAUGGACAGAUAAUUGACACUUUUACACAAGUCCGAAAUGAUAUAUACUUUAUCUGCGUUUUACAGCAAAAAUGCUCAUUAUCUCUCCACUUGACGUAACUAGUAUCUAUAAUUACCUAGGGUGCAAAUUGAACUAUUUUUAUACUAUUUAGAUAUACUUUCGUAACAGUACAAUACAAAGAACAACUAUGGGGUUCGGCCGUCCGGAGGCAUGGUCUGCGAAACGCAAUUUUAUGCAUAGUAUUAGAUACGUUUUAUGAUGAUCUUAAAGCCAAAUAUUUGGUAUAGAUGCAUUAAUGUCCUCACCGUUUAAUAAAAUUAAUAUAAAUAUAUAUAUAUAUAUAUAUAUAUAUAUAUAUAUAUAUAUAUAUAUAUAUAUAUAUAUAUUUAAUAUAACGACACGCAUAAGAACACGAGGUUUGUGGGGUUAUGGAACUGUGGGACAAUUGCUCUAUAUACUGUAUUUUUUAUCUGCGAAGAGCUGGGUGCUGAGCGGUUCCCAGGGCAUAUACUCGUAUUGAAAAGCUGGAUCUUGGGGAAAGUCGAUUAGGACAUAUACUGAUUUGCAGCUGGGUCCUAAUCUGCCCAAGACAUACACUUUUACGGAUUUUGAGCUGGGUCCUGAGUCGGCUAGAACAUAUACUCCAUUUAGAGCUGGGUCCUAGCCUGCCCUGCAAGACAUAUACUCUGAGCUGGGCCCUGGGAAAAAAUAAUCAGGGAAAUAUUUCUUAGAACACUGAUCUGGCUCAGCACAUAUACUCGUAUGCAGAAAUAGAGUGAUUUUUGUAAAUGGGAAUUGGCUGUAUGCCAGGUUGCCAAAUUCCGUAAAGAAAACGUGAGGUCUAUGGCAAAAUUGCGACCUCAUACUUAGAGCAAUUGCUUCAAACACUUCAUUCUUUAUUUAUUAUUUUAUUAAAUAUAUAAUAACAUUGAUAUAACAGUCUAGUGAAUGUUGAUAAGCGUUUAAUAUCCAACGAAGAUAAUAUUUAUAUGUGGAUCUAAAUAUAGUUCAAUGUUCCCGAGAAUUCAAUAUCACUCCCUAGGCGGGCCCAUAACAUACCGUAAUUACUUCCAAGUACCAUCUUAUACCAUCUCGUUACAUCAGUGAAAAGGCUGGAGCAUGGGGUGGUUGGUGGGUGACUCUUUAAAUCAGUCUUUACAGCUCGCAAUCCAAGUAAGAAUGAUAUAGGCAGAUAAAGCUAACUCGGAUAUCUGCCCAUGUUUAACUAUAGUUCCAUUGUUAUAGUUAUGAAUAAGUCAAACAUAGUGGUUUGGCAAGCAAAUAAUGAAAGUCUGUGAUAGAGUCUUCCUUUGUUUAGACAAUAGCAGCUUUCGAGUUGGCUUAACAUAGACAUUUUAAAUCUAUAGUUUUUAGGUCUAGCGCAUUGAGUAUCGUCCAUUAACAAUAAUUUGUACUCGUAAAAAUUACCAUUAAAAACACCACCCGGUUACAUCCUCCCCCUUUUUCCUCAGUUUUGGAAAAAUUACAAAAUUGGUCCUGACGAAAAGUGGCGGGGUCCGGAAUCCCCCAGUCCCCUGUAGCCACGCCCUGGUUUUGCAGUUUAUUAGCUUUGGUAGAUUUCAUAUUAAACAAACGAUGACUGAAACACUGUGCACUAUUGAUGGUUGUUAAUGAAUAAUGUUUUCAAAUCACUUAAACCUCAAACGGGAAGCUUCGAAUCGUACUUUCGAAUUUGGGGUAAAUUGUGCGUUAAAAUUGAAGCAUGAAUUAGCUACUUAGCUGUCGAAAAUUUAUAGAACUUACCUUCGAAUGCGAUUUCAAGUUUGCCGUUUGCGAUUAGCGGUCUUCCGCAAAAGUUAAUCUUAAGGUCCUGAUACGGGAUUCAACGGUAUUACUAGGUUUAAAUUUUCGAAUUUCAAUCUUACAAUCGUUUAGAAUUUUAAAAAAAUAUAUAUGUGCAAUAUCGGUGCAAUAUUUACAAUCCUGAUCAAAACCAUCAGCGAUAUCCCAUUAAAAUAUUCCCAUAGUUGUGCCUAUUUUUACCAUUAGACAACUUACUUUUGUGCCCUUUCCUCCCACCAAACAAUGCUGGACGUUUUAACCGUGUUCUGGUAAGGGGUGUUUUUCCUAAAUUUGCGAAAUAUUACCACAGGGAGUCCAACUAAGAGCUGUGUUAUGAAUAUGAAUAAAACAUAUUGUUUAAACGUAAUAUAAAUAAAACAUCAUAACGUAAUAAAUUUAAAUUAUUGCACUUACUUGUAUAAAUCAUAAGAGCUUGCAUUUACAAUGAAUAGCUUCAAACCGGGCGCUUAUAUAUGCUCAGAAACAUUGAUUAGAACGAUUGUUCAAAUAUGGCGAAUAAAUUGACAAAACGAAAAUAUUACAUGACGUUCCAACGAAAAUAACAGAAAGGAUUGCGGGCGCGAGCGGAAGGCGAGGGUAAUAGAUAUUGAUAUUAAUAGAAGGGAUGAAACACCGGUAAUGCGAUCGUGUGAUGAGUUCCAUAAGUAGCCUGGUCUCUCGGAAAAUUCCAAAACGCCUCCUGCCAAAUCCAACAACGCUUACGCGCUUAAUUAAUGAAAAUAAACAAUGUUUAGCUGUACCGGCUAAUAUGAAAUAUUUAAAUGUAGCGACCAGCGGGGUUUUUUAACAUUAUUUUGUUUUAUUAUUAUUUAGUCAUUACGUCAUGAGACCAGGCUACUUAUGGAACACAUCUCGCGAAAAUGGCCAAGAAUGCUCGCUGUUAUAAAUCACAUUAAUUAGAUUGAUCAGUGCUUUUUUGGUAAUGACUAGGCUUGUUCAUGUAAGAGAACUUCUACUGAGCCCUAAAAAUACCAUAAAAAGCUUAAACGGUUAGUCUAGAAGCAUUUUAAAAAGGCACGUGAUAUUUGUUUCAUUCCUUUUUAAUAUUUAUUUCUUCCCUCGCCUUUUCGCUCGCGCGCCCGCAAUCCUUUCUGUUAUUUUCGUUGGAACGUCAUGUAAUAUUUUCGUUUUGCCAAUUUAUUCGCCAUAUUUGAACAAUCGUUCUAACUGGUGUUUCUGAGCAUAUAUAAGCGCCUUGUUUGAAGCUAUUCGUUGUAAAUGCAAGCUCUUAUGAUUUAUACAAGUAAGUGCAAUAAUUUAAAUUUAUUAUAUAUCAAUAGUCAAGGUCGCAUUUUUCUAGUGUUUUAUUGGUUGAGAGCAUAUCACGUGAGAGUGACGAAAUUAGGCUGUCUCCCUCGCAACAGCGCGAGAGGGAGAUAAUACGUUAUCGACCGGCGAAUAACAAAAAAAAAAUCACGUGCGCCAUCACGUGAAGAUGCGACCUUUGGACAUGCCUAGUACGUAAUUAAAACUUUCGCUUUAAGUAACUGCAGUGUAGCCAGUGUUUAAUAUAACGUUUUAACAAUAAAAUAUUUCAUGUAUUUACGUUCAUUUGUUCUUUAAUUUGUUGUUUCUUUGAAUAUUGAUAUAUAAUAAAACACUUAUUUGCUGAGAUCUCGGGAAAGCAGUGUGUUUUGUGGACCCUUCGACCGUCGAUGUUUCCCUCGGCUUCGCCUCGGGAAACAUCGACGGUCUCGGGUCCACAAAACACACUAUUUCCCUCGGUCUCAGUAAAUAAGUGAUAAUUAUUACGUUAUGAUGUUUUAUUCAUAUUACGUUUAAUUAAUGUUUCAUAACACAGCUCUUAGUUGGACCCCCUGUGAUAUUACGAAGAAUUGUCAAAUAAUUGUAAGUGUCGCAGAUAUUUUUUCAAGCUCUGCAAAACCAUGCACGAAAUAUUGAACUUUACAUGCAAGACCAUAUAUAUGAAUAAAAUGUACAAACAAUUUGCAUCCUGUUAAAAUUUAGAGUAUUUAAAUAAGUUUACCAUGUUUUAUGUAAAAAGAUGUGUAACAGUAUAUAUGUAUCGAAAAAUCAUUUACACAUCUUUUCACAUAAAACAUGCAUGUAAAACUUCAUUUACAUACUCUGUACAUUUUAAGUUCUUUGUAGGUUUGCAUGGCAAUAAAACAUAGAAUACUAUUAUAAUUCAGUUUGUGGAAACACCAAUUUUAUUACUGCAGUAAUAACACUGAUGAAGAUCCAGGCUUAUACGGAUCGAAAGCUUUGCUGUAAUAAAUUUAGUACGUGGUGUUUCCACAAACAAUAGUAUUAUCUGUAAAUUUUACAGUCAAAAUACAAAUUUUUACAGUCAAAAUACAAAUCCACUUCCGCUUCUGUAGUCUGUUGUGAUUAGGGAGAUGCACAUUAUGCCGGAAUUUCUUUUAGAAUAAUAGGGAUUUUUUGAAACCGGGAAUAAUAGGAAAAAGCGGGAAUAAUAGGGAAACAUGUCGGUAUAACGUCAAUUUUCAUUCCGUAAUUAACAUAUGCACCAUCCGCUCACGGACCUGCGGCGUGCAUGAGUGUAUAUACCGUCUCUGAAUACGUCGUGUACGUAGAAUUUUUGGACUAAUAGCGUUAUGCAUUAUUUGUUUCUUUAACCAUUAUGCAAAUAAAAUUGAAAAUCUUGUCAAAAUUUCCAGCUCCACAUCCAUUAUAUAAAUAAAGUUCUCUCAGCCUUGGUUUGAUUUGAUGUGGGAUAAUUUUGGGAAUAAUAGGAGAAAAGUUUAAGAAUAAUAGGAUAAAGUCGAAGCAAUUUUGGAAUAGAAUAAUGGGAACAUUUUCGAGCACAAUUUGCGUGUGUCUAGUUGUGAUUUAGCUACUUUAAUUUUUCUGUAAGGGUUACCAAUUUAUUGGCAAUUAAAUUCCGUACUAAAAUUUAAAUUUCGCACAUUUUAUGCAUGCAAUGAAUCUAACGAAACAUGUAUCCUUUUGCUACAAAUUAUUAUAUGCAAAAACAAUACUCAAUUUUACAUCGGUAUUUGUCGAUAAAUCUGUAACCGCCACCGACAAACAGAAAUUACAGUAAAACACAACAGAAUACUGAAGCGGAACAUUUUUUGCAUUUUGACUGCAACAUGAUGCAUUGCAAAUUGUUUGUAUAUUCUAUUUACAUGGUCUUGUAAACCAAGGAAAUUUAAUUUUAGAUUCUCCUAUUAAAUUUAAAAGCAUGUAAAUUUCGUGCAAAUGCCUCAUGAGUUAAACUACGUUAAUACAUUGGGGAAAAUAUGGAAGACCACAGGAACACUUUGCUGCAAGUAAAUGUAAUAACGAAGGCCCGAUAAACCACAGGAUGCGAGGACUAUUCUUGGAAAAACUCUAUAAAAUGUAAAUGCCAUAAAAGAACCCAUGAAUUUAUGAAAAAUCUGUUAAUUUUAAUAAAACUGGGAUUAUUCUUUGUCAAUUAACCAUGCCCCAAUUUCAUAUUUAUAAUUCAAUUGUUUGUAUUAAGUAAAUAUUUCAGCGAGUAUUGUGCCCUCCCCUUUAAUUAAAACGAAAACCACCAUUGAAAUGCUCAUGCACCGAAUAUAACCUUUUGAACGGGGGGUCAAGUGCCUUCAAAACAUUACACAAACCAAACCAAUCAUACAUUUAAUCACACUUGGCCAAACAUUCUUCAUUUUAUUUGGAGAAAAAACUGGAAUAUCUUCUAAAUUCUUCGGAAUUUGCUGGAAGUCAAUAUGAGCAAAUACUCUUAGUAUUCAAGGUUAGCACUUUCAUGCAUGUAGAAAGUUUCGUUUGAAUACAACGAGUGAACAUAUUUAUUUUGAAAUUUUCAAAAUAUCGAGGUUUACUCGCACGCGCUUGCCACGCACUAUACUUAAUCAAUAAGGAGCGCCCUAUUAAUUCUGUCGAACUUGUCAACUUGUUCAACAAGUACUUUACAUCUGUAUUCACCAGUGAGUCAGUGACAGUAGUUCACCUUACCAUGCUUGUGAUGUGAACUACUGUCACUGGUGACCAGAUGAUACCCCAAACAAAACUGAUGUAACUCUAACUGAUCGACGUACCUUUGCUUGUAAAUUCACUGGUCGCAACGUGGACAUAUGCUUCUUUACGCCGUUAAUUUCCAGCCAUAGCUUGCGUGUUUCAUUCGAUGCUUCAUUACAAUUUAUUAAAUCAGUAUCGUCCAACGUGGCUAUCUCGCCUCUCUCUCUUGACUGUCUUUUGGAACGUCCCCCCAAAUUCCCCGAUCUGAGACCCUUGAAGACCCUGUGUCAAAUCCUUUUAAUUAAUUUCAAAGUUUAGAUGUGAUUAGGGAAAAUUUCUAUAUCUUGGAAAACGACCCUGAAACAUCCUCCAUUUUCUCCAAUAAUCCCUUCGUCUCUUCUCCACACACACAAAAUAUCCAUGAAACUCUAGUUUAUAACCUCCGUAUAACCACAGGAUUUGUUGCCUUCGAAUCGCACGUUUCAUUGUUGGAUGUCCCAGUGUAAAACAUACGAGUUUUAGAUGCUGCUACCACCAUUUCGGCAACAAAAUCUCAAUAUCAUGUUAAGAACAAUUUCGCGUGCAUGCAUCUUCCACCAUCCCAUUUACUGCAUCUCAUGCAGUAUGUGUGGCAUGCUAUAUAUUGAAGAAACUAGAAGCUUUUUGAGGACAAGGUUUGGAGAGCAUGCAUCGGUAUGCAUGUGCAGUCAUUGGUAAUGUGUUAACCAGCCUGUUGCCAGGCAUUUUAAUAGUGGCAAUUACAGUGUUUCAGAUAUAAAAAUUUGAGCUCUCUGUCCCAUUUCUGGAACGGCAAUGAUAGCCGAAAAGACGUGAAAUGCGCCUCAUUUUUAAACUUGGCACUGUUCAUCCCUGUGGCAUUAAUGAACAUUUAUCCUAGUUUUAAGUCUAUUUGUUUUUGUCGCAAGCAUUGACAGUACUUUAAAUUCUUACUUUGUGCCAUACUUGUUUCAUAUGUAUGUCUGUGUGGAACUAUAUCGGGUAAGCUGAAAAAAUCCAAUCUGUAGCCUUUGGCUUGGAGUCCAGUACUGUAGCAAUAAACCUUACCGUUUAGUCACUUUUUACCCAAUGGCCUUGUUUUCGAGUCAAAUACUUACUCAUGUUUUGUGUUCAGUAGGGUUGAAAAUUACUUUCUUAUUGAGCCUAAGAACAGCAAGAAACAAAUUCGUCCGGGAAAACAUGGGAAUAUAAUCUUUAUCUGCCCCUGUUAAAAUAAGUUAACAUGGAAACGAGGUCAUUGUGUAAAAGAGAAUAAUCGGUAAGGUCUAUUGAGCUACAGGCAGCUCGUUGCGAGAUGAUCUUUGGAAACUUAGUGUAGUUCGUACGAUCUCAAAAUAAAUACAGAUACGGGCUCAAGCUGGAAACAACAUACAAAACGGAGAGGUUUUAAUAUUACGAGGAUUACAGCACAACUGAUUAGCAUACUAAUUAGACCGUAUAAAAAUACUGACUUUCAUGGUCAGCAGAGACAAUUUGAACUUUCGGCAGCCUUUUUAUAGUAAAAGCAAUGGUUACUGCAUGCUCAGAGCAGUCUGAGCAGUAACUCUUUCCUCAGAGUUACUGCUGAGGGAGCCAAUCAGAACGCUUGAAAGUAAAUUGUCAGUGUUGAAUUUAUACUAAAAUCUGAUAAAAAGCAUGAUAAAAAAAUAAUUUUAUGAAAUGAUUUUUUCGCAAAAUAAUGACACGGAAGGAGAAGUAAACGAAUGUUUCCUAUAACAUGCUAGAUUAUUGAACGACUAAUAUAGAAUUUCAUAUUUAUGUUGCAGAAAUACAGAGAACAGACUCUAUGGAUGACCCCUUUCAAGAUCCAGAUAAAGGUGAGCCAUUAAUAGAAGAAGUAAAAUUUUUGAAAUGUCUGGAACCCAAAGGUAACUGUAAGCCUAAGUUUAUAAAAUUAUAACAGAGUGGACUUUCGUUGACGCUGCACAAAAAUAGUGCGGGCUCGUGAGCUUUUCCCGCAAAUUUUGCUUUUCGAUGUUUGGCUUACAAUUUCUAAGGAUGUUGAAGUUUACAGUAUUGUGAUUCUCUGGUUUUUGAAAGCAUCUGGAGAUUUUUGUCGGAAGUUCUAGUAAAUUAAAACUGAAAAAAGGUAUCAAUUUCCCGCGCGUAAUACAAAAUGAUUGAAAAACGGCAAACUUCGCAGGGCUAUAUCACCCGCAUUUUACAAUAUUUCGCAACGAAACUUUGGAAUAUUACUAAUUUUGUGAUGCUGUUUCAAACUGUGAUGAAACGUUUGUCUAGACUUGGCUACAUCAAAAUUUUGUUCAUGGGGAAUGCAGUCCAAUGAGUCGAAAAUUGACGUUUUAUUUUUUAGUCUAAUUUGAAAAGUCAUUGAAAACUGUUGUGUAACUUUCUUGCUUCGGUUUGAAGACAUUUUAUUUUGUAUGAUAUUAAUAUUACUUUAUUAAAUGGCAAGCAUCAACGUCCGGUGAAAUGGCGGACUGUGAUUGGCUGGGCCAUUAUUUUCCCGUAAUGGACCGACGGUCCAUUACGUAAAAACAGACGCAUGCAUUUUAAAACAAAACAGCAAAACUAAUUGAAAAUUAUAAUUUCAUUUGUUAUUACUAAGUUAUCUGCGAAUGGUUUCAAGUGAAAAGGAAGGAAUACAAUGGUAUUUUUUGUUUUCUUUGAUUAAAUGUGUGUCAUGCUACAUUAAUGCAUUUCAAAUCAUGCAUUUCCUGUUUGUUUCGAUCUUUCGACUAUAAAUGUCAUAUAAUAAACUUCUUUUUGUACAAACCUCGCCCUACGGGCUCGGUCUGUACGAAAAAGACCUCGGUCCAAUAUUUCUCUUUAAAGACCUCGCGCUCCGUUAAUAAGUAGUUAAUAAUCUGAUAAUCUGUUAAUAAUCUGAAGUAGUUAAUAAUCUGAUAAGCAGAAGAUAACAAAUGCUCCCUGACAUGCUAGAUUUUCGAAGGACUAAUAUAGAAGUGUUUUUUUUGCACGACAGUACAAGGUGUUGCAAAAACACAGAGAAGAGACUCUCAGGAUGACUUCCUGGAUGAAGGUGAGUUGUAUUGUUAUUCUAAUAAGUUUCAUAGCCAUCUUCCCUUCGAUGGGCUAUGGUUUGAAAUGGUCAUUAUUUUCGUAAAUUAAAAUGGACUUUCAAACAAAAAUCGGGAGCAAAUAAAUUUUUAAAUACUUUUUCUGUAUUUGUGAUUUUCUACCUACCUCCGGUGAAAAACGUG